AAUUCAAAGUUCCCUCUUGUGCACUGUUCAAAAGAAAUCUAACUGAUUAGAUUUCCACACCAAGAAUGAGAUAAAUAUGAUGUAAAUUGUUGGAAAAAAAAUGUUCAAGGUACAACAGAAACAAGCCAAUGAUACCAACAAUUGGUUAACCUUCCCAUAGAUUACCUUUAUAGAAUCAAGUAUUCCUAUAACUCAGACAAAAAAAAGUAGAGGUAAAUUGCAAAUUAAUUUUGACAUGACCAGAAAAUGAAGGAAAAAAUGCAAAAAUAAUUUCAAAAUCAAACCUCAACAACAAAUAAAUUAACAAGUACUAAAGAAAUUUAACUGCAAAAUUAAAAGUCAUAUGUUCGAAAACUUUGAAUGAAGCUUGUUAGAAGUAAACAUACAACACUAUUAACAUAACUAUCAAUCCAAAUAAACUGAAUUCAACCCUAAUUCCACACCAAAUAGAUUUAAGCCAUAAACAGAGAAAAUAAACGAUUUAAGCAAUUAAAUUUUACAUGUUAGUGCAACUUGUAACGGAUCAAUCACCCACCCAAAAUUUGGCGUACGAUUAUGUUGAACUUUCAAUUAAGAUAAGAUCCUAUAGACUGAAUUUUCACAGAACCCAUUUCUAGAUACCGCACAUUGCAGGUAAACCAAGAAAAGACUAAACAAAUUGUAUUCAUUAAAAUACAACAUCAGGUCCUUCACAAAGACCAAGAGAAAGAAGAAGGAAAAAAAAUAAAAUCACACCAACCUAUGAACGAACACAGAAGGCUUAACAUCAAAUACAUCAUUCAAGGCAUAAAUUAUUGAACCAACAACUUAGAUAAAAUCAGAGCUGGGUUUGGCUUCUUGCCCCAAAAGAAAAAAAAAAUUCAAUAAACUUGACACACAUAAUG
Molecule: unclassified non-coding RNA, 884 nt
Filed under: Hevea brasiliensis (rubber tree)
Lineage: Eukaryota; Viridiplantae; Streptophyta; Magnoliopsida; Malpighiales; Euphorbiaceae
Source: RNAcentral